Molecule: ribosomal RNA, 253 nt
Filed under: uncultured bacterium
Lineage: Bacteria
Description: partial 16S ribosomal RNA
Rfam family: Bacterial small subunit ribosomal RNA
Source: RNAcentral
UACAUGGGGUGCAAACGUUGCUCGGAAUUAUUGGGCGUAAAGCGCGCGUAGGCGGUUACUCAAGUCGGAUGUGAAAGCCCUCGGCUUAACUGAGGAAGUGCACCCGAAACUGAGUAGCUAGAGUACUAAAGAGGGUCGCGGAAUUCCCGGUGUAGAGGUGAAAUUCGUAGAUAUCAGGAGGAACACCUGUGGCGAAGGCGGCCAUCUGGAAGAUUACUGACGCUGAGACGCGAAAGCGUGGGGAGCAAACAGG